Molecule: ribosomal RNA, 508 nt
Filed under: uncultured bacterium
Lineage: Bacteria
Description: partial 16S ribosomal RNA
Rfam family: Bacterial small subunit ribosomal RNA
Source: RNAcentral
AUUGAACGCUGGCGGCAGGCCUAACACAUGCAAGUCGAGCGGCAGCGGGAAAGUAGCUUGCUACUUUUGCCGGCGAGCGGCUGACGGGUGAGUAAUGCCUGGGAAAUUGCCCAGUCGAGGGGGAUAACAGUUGGAAACGACUGCUAAUACCGCAUACGCCCUACGGGGGAAAGCAGGGGACCUUCCGGCCUUGCGCGAUGGGAUAUGCCAAGGUGGGAUUAGCUAGUUGGUGAGGUAAUGGCUCACCAAGGCGACGAUCCCUAGCUGGGCUGAGAGGAUGAUCAGCCACACUGGAACUGAGACACGGUCCAGACUCCUACGGGAGGCAGCAGUGGGGAAUAUUGCACAAUGGGGGAAACCCUGAUGCAGCCAUGCCGCGUGUGUGAAGAAGGCCUUCGGGUUGUAAAGCACUUUCAGCGAGGAGGAAAGGUCAGUAGCUAAUAUCUGCUAACUGUGACGUUACUCGCAGAAGAAGCACCGGCUAGCUCCGUGCCAGCCGCCGCAGUAA